RNAcentral lists this small nuclear RNA (158 nucleotides) under Erpetoichthys calabaricus (reedfish). Its description in RNAcentral is "U1 spliceosomal RNA (ENSECRG00000009739.1)". It matches the Rfam family "U1 spliceosomal RNA". Rfam says of the family: U1 is a small nuclear RNA (snRNA) component of the spliceosome (involved in pre-mRNA splicing). The record is from RNAcentral. Lineage: Eukaryota; Metazoa; Chordata; Cladistia; Polypteriformes; Polypteridae.
UUAAUUACCUGGCAGGGGAGAUACCAUGAUCACUAAGGUGGUUCUCCCAGGGCGAGGCUCAUCCAUUGCACUCCGAGUGUGCUGACCCCUGCGAUUUCCCCAAAUGCGGGAAACUCGACUGCAUAAUUUAGUAAAUUUAAGUAAAGUCUUGUAUUAAU